UCUUGUGAAAAAUUCAUGAAGCUUUUCUGCAGUCUGCUUUUGAGUUUUGGUGGCGGAAUGCCUUCAGUGGGUAGAGCCUGAACACGGCAGCUUCUCUGGGCCCAGCCUCAGAAAUCAGGAGACCUGGCGUUUGGAGUCAGAGGAGACAGACAUGGUGGCGAUGUUGUGUCCCUUAUUGCUUUAAAUGUGACGCCCACUAUGACAAUGAUGGAAAGGAUGAGAAUCACUGCGGGCGGUGAGACAAGGUCUCCCCUUUGCACGCCCUGCUGGACUGAGCUUGGGAAAGCCAGGCGUGACCUGCUGGGCUGCCAGUUCUCUGUGCGCUGGUGGACAUGCCGAGACCAGUGAUACUGUCUGUGAUUCUGAUGGCCAGACUGGCCCUCCCCUUCUUUGCACUAAUUUGAGAACUGCGAGGAGCCAUUCAUUGCUUCUCAGGGUAGAGCGGCGCACAAGGAUGCUUGCUAUUGUAAACAAGAAAUUCUCAGACUGGCAAAGCUCUGCAGGUUGCUGUACAACCAGCGGCUAUCGAAGCGGGAGCUUUGAGGGCGAGCAGUCUCGGGGCUGCCAUGCGGGGAUCCAGCUGAACAGCCACCUCAUCCUCUGUGACUGUGACAGGCGAGUCCCUUCAGGAAAAUAGGCAUGAGGAGGCUCACAUAACCUUGAGGGCCUACGAUCCCAGCUGCCGCAGCUCAGCUCUGCCGACCUGACCAGGAUCUGAUAGCUUUUCACUGGAGCCUAAUAACCACCAGGGCCACUGACGAUCUUUCUAAAAAUGUAGGAAAAAAGCACCAAGAAGUUUGGAUAGGAAGCCCAGAGGGAGUCCCAGCGCCCACCGCCCCCUCUUCUGAGGCUCAUUUCCCUGUCUGUCCCUCUGUGCCCUGGACUGCCUCUGUCCCCUGCACCUGGCCUUGUACAGUCUCUUCUCUUCAUAAGGACUUCGUUGUUUUUUUGACUUUAUAAACUUAAAAUCAGUGCAUGUCUGUGGCAUGUGGUAGCUAUGUAGCUAUGUUUUGGGGAGUUGGUACGUGUGUGAGGCACAUCUUUACUAGUUCCCGUCCGUUAACCUCCCUCCCUGUGAGCUCUGAGUCCUUUCCCUGUGUUAUCAACUGAAUUGACAGUUUGCAAGCGCGGUCUGCAGGUCCUGCCUGGGAAAAUGGAGCACAGGGAAUAUAAUAGAGAUUUUAUAAAGCGGGCGGGGAGGGAGAGGCUGGAACGCGCAGAAUGAAGGAGUCGUAAAGUUUACAGAAAGGAGGCCAAGGGGCUGGAGGGCAGGGCACCUCGUUUUUUCACCAGGGAGGGCCCGAUUCCCAGGACUGUGGUGAUCUUCCAGGACCUGCCCUCGCCUCUGGGUGGGGAUUGAG
This is a long non-coding RNA of Cavia porcellus (domestic guinea pig), 1361 nucleotides long. RefSeq lists it as uncharacterized. NCBI's taxonomy places the organism in Eukaryota, Metazoa, Chordata, Mammalia, Rodentia, Caviidae. The transcript has 5 exons. The record is from RefSeq and is a predicted model, not a curated record.